UUCCAGACAGCCGCUCGCCUGCGUCCGGGUUUUGCCAUGUCGUCGUGCCGGGGCGGUCUGAAUGGUGUUGUUAUACGCGUUACAUAUUUCCAGACUGCAACGUGCUUACGUGGAAUAGCACCGCGAUCAAGGGAAACGAUGUAGCCUGCGUUGAUUUUCAGACUGCAAUGUGCUUGUGAAGAAAGACGUUGGGAUCAAUGGACAGGAUGCGGUCUUCGUUGUGUGCAACAACCACUGUUUAGGGUUAGUCUUAGGCAACAGCUGUUUUGAUACGCCGAUAAAGCUUUGCAGGUUAUGGUAUCUGGCAUCAGGAGGAGCUUGAGAAACGGAAUGCAGAUAACAGGUUUCCUCACGGGGGCUACCCAGAGGAUCGUCUGUGCAGUGCGAUGCGACCGGGCUUACGGAUAAAUAUCAUGGUCCUCAUC
This is a long non-coding RNA of Ornithodoros turicata, 425 nucleotides long. RefSeq lists it as uncharacterized. The record is from RefSeq and is a predicted model, not a curated record. NCBI's taxonomy places the organism in Eukaryota, Metazoa, Arthropoda, Arachnida, Ixodida, Argasidae. The transcript is spliced from 4 exons.